UGGGCCUGAUGGGAGUUACAUACGUAUCCUACAUCUCGUGAGAAUCAAACUGGCAUAGUUCGGGCAAUUUUGACUAAACAAAAAUGAACUAUUUUUCUUAAAAGAAGACUUUUUUUCAAAAUUUCGGCAAAGUUUCAGUAUAUUUUGGACAUCGAUUUUUCAAAACAGACAAUUAUCUCUCUCAACCCUCAUAUUGAUUUUCCUUCUCUCAAAUUUUCCCAUAUAAGCCGGUCAACAUGCAAAUCCAAAGCAAAUGAAUGCACAAGUAGCAAGUAGGAUGCAUCAGGAUGGUCUUUUCAUUUCAGGUACACCUGUCCUACAUAGAACCAACCCCUGUGUGUAAUCUCCAAAGUCAAAUGUACAUGACGCAAACAAACGUUCCUACUAGAGAUCCGGCAUGAGGCCGAGUUAUUCUAGGUUCAAAACCUGGGUAUAUUAUUCUAGACAUGUGUACCUGAGCGCAUAACUCGAGCCGAAGAUGGGGCUACGUACUGGGAACCAAAAGGCCAUCCGACUUAGUAACUUGUCCGAGCCUCUUUCUUAUUUCAAGGUAUGAGACUAACAGAAUAAGGAGUCACGGCCAGUGUGGACAGCCUCGAAGAUAUGAAAAGAAGGGUUUAGUAGCAGUUUAUAUACAGUUCAAAUAGUAUUAAAGCGGUAAAAAGCAGCAUUUAGCACAUUAGGCCCAAACAUGUAAUAAAAUCAUAUAAUAGAUAAAGCCAAAUAUAAUAGUUAUUCUAAACUCGAAUUCUGAAUCUUGAGCCAGAGAUUCUAGGUUCGAUCCCUAGCAGGGUCGCCAGAGCUAUCACACCUCCUUUUUACCAACACCCCGAGAAGGGUAUAAAGGAGUUUUUUCCGACUUAAAGUGACAAUCGAAACGGGAUCAUUUUUUAUUAAAAUUCAGAGUCGCCACUUAGGAUAAUUUUAUGGUGUCCUAAGUCACCAGUUCCACAUCCCGAAUCGAGGAAAGAAUGACUCUAUUUUACAGUCCGCGAACACAAAAAUCUAGUAUGGAAUUCUAUUAAUUCGGGAGAAGGUGUUAGGCAUUCCCGGGUUUCGUAGUUCUUGCACGGUCGCUCAAUUGUUAUAAUUGGUCUAUUAUCUGAUUUUAGUACAUGUCUUAACCUAUGAUAUGUUUUUAACUUUACAACUGCUUUUAUUAAUUUUUUAGGAAAGAUUCAACGUCAUCUAAAAUACGUCUUGAACUAUGUCACAUAAAUGCACUCGCGAUCCACGAAACAUUUUAUAUAAAAGUUGUUGAGAUUUGGAUUUAGGUCACAUAAAUGCACGCCCUAGUUUAGGAAAGUAAUUUGAAAUUACGCGCCUAAAGCAACUACACAUUUUUAGACUUUGCGAGGGCCGUGGAAAAUUUGCUAAUGGCGCACCUCGCUUUCUAAGAAUUAAAGUAUUAGUUAAACGAGGUCCAUGCAUAUUGAGAUUUUAUUUGGCACGGCACACCUUGAUUUAUCUUAAUAAAAGGGUUUCUAAACUAACUAUGGAGGGCCAUAAAGUGUAACUUAUCUAAUAUAGUUUGCCUUAAGCUAAACUAAGGUCACAACCAAUUUAAAAGAAAAAUGAACUUCCACCAAGUGAUAUUCCAUUUACAUUGUUCCAAUUCACAUGUAUGUAAUGCAUUAUUUACCAGUAGGAUUGGGGAAAUGAAUUCAGAUUUGUCACAUGUUUAAAAACCAGAACCUCCUUUAAAAGGAGUUGGGCUAGAAGGACAGCAAAAGGUUGGGGGUGGGGCAACGGGGAAGCUCGAUGACUUAGCUGGGCCGACUAGAAUCUGGGCCCAAAUAGGAGAACUAUGGAUCACUCAAAGUAGGCUUUAUCACCAUAGAGAUCCUAAAUUAAUUUAAUGUAGAAGAGAAAGGAGAAAAGCAUCGGGGUUAACAUUCAUUUGAAUCAAACUAUUACAAAGCAAGGCCCAUUCGAAUAUGGACCCAAAAGACAUGCGAAUAAACUACCACUUGACUUCCAGAUUUUAAUUUUUCCAACAUGGAACGAAAUAAACAUUCUGAACAACAAUUCCCAAAUCAAGCAAUCAUUUGGUCAUUAUGCUUGAAAUCAAUUUUCAACAAGCUUCAAAAGACAAUUAUGAAACUCCAAGUUUACUUAAACCUUUACUGAAUCCAUGUGACUAAUAAACAAAAACUUGUGGGGUGACCCAAUGAGUAUAAAUGAAUCUAAACCUUAAGCUCAAAAAUGAUCAUGCUUACAAAACAGAAUCUGGGUAAAUCAAUAUCGUACAGGCCAAUACUUAGAAUUUCAAUGAAUCCAAAUGGACGUCAAAGCUAAAACAACACGGAUCUUCAGCAAAAACUGAACAAAGGUCUACAACCCAAAGCAUUAAAUCAAACCUCUAUUGCAAAGCUUAACAGCUCAUUUACCUAACACACACUCGAACUCAUUAAAAAGAAAACAGAAUAGCUAGAGUCCAUAGUUAAUUUACCAUUACAAAUACUUCUACUCUUUGACACAGAUUCAGAAUAUCUCACUCUAACACAUGGAUUCAGAAUAUACAAGUAAUAAAAGAGAAAGCCCAACUGACAUUUACAAUUCGAGAUCUAACUGUAGAGUCUUCAAGCCGUAAGAGAACAGGGGAAGCUAAAUUCAAAUGCAUCUUGCAUUCAAUUAGAAUUUCACUUGAAUUAUAUGUUCAACAGUCACUCAUUGUUUAUAGGUUAAAGAGAUACCUGAAAAGAAAAGAAAAUAAGAAGAGUGAAGGAUGAGCAGCAGUAGAACAGUGUCAGCAGCAAUGUAACAGUGAAAAACUAGAAAAUCCCGGCAAAAAACAACUUCUUCAGACUAUUUCAAACCCAGAAUGAAUCCACAAUUACCCCCAACUUCUAAAACUCAAAGCAUUACACACAGAACUCCAAUGUAAUAGUGUUUUCCAGUGUUUUCUUUGUAUUUUUCCUUCUAGUUUUCAGACCUUUUUAGUGUUUAAAGCUUUUUGUAGCCGUUUUUGAUUUCUCAGAAUUUCAUCUCUUUAUUUCUG
Molecule: long non-coding RNA, 3001 nt
Filed under: Nicotiana benthamiana
Lineage: Eukaryota; Viridiplantae; Streptophyta; Magnoliopsida; Solanales; Solanaceae
Description: long non-coding RNA (NBEN_LNC025168)
Source: RNAcentral